CUACAAGCGAAUAGGU
This 16-nucleotide small RNA is filed under the name Arabidopsis thaliana (thale cress). RNAcentral's name for it is "ATSL280800". The record is from RNAcentral. Lineage: Eukaryota; Viridiplantae; Streptophyta; Magnoliopsida; Brassicales; Brassicaceae.